GGACGCAUCUAAAAGCUGCAGGACAGUAGCUCUCGAGGACUAGAGCUGGAGACCCCUGUUCUAAUAUCUAUGGACAUUAGUGGAUCUACAGUUUUACAGCUUUCCCCCCCGGGUGGAUGAUUUGUUUUUUUCUUCUAAACGACUCGCGAUUUCACCCAGCAGCAGCGCUCUGCAGAUUAUGUGCCAUGCAGAUCCAGUUACACACACACACGAGCCACUGUGCACUGCUCUUGUGACACCCUCGCAGCACCUCAGGCGCUGAGAUGUUGGCAAGCCAAAACAAGUAGUGAUGAGCAACUCUGACAAAAAGUGCUGACAUGUUUGCCUCUUUCUGUCUUUGUCUGACAAAGUUUUUUUCUUUUUUCCUUAAACAGUUGUGUUACUGUGGAUUAUUUAUUCUUUUGGAAGAGAUUUCUAAUCCACUAACGCGAGGGGCAUGAAAAAUGUCAGUAGUGUUUUCUCUUCAGCAAUUAUGGCAGGAACAACAUGGAAAAACCUGCAACUGGUUUUGCUUUGUCUCUUUCGUGCGUUACAAUUCAAGCCCAUGGAGCAAGAACUGUCACAAAUGAUUUGAAACUUCAUAACUAUUCUAUAUUUACAUGUUGCCAUCAGUUUCAUUGUAUUUUUUAUUAGACCAAUAAAAAAGGACUGUAAUAUAUUAUAACUCAACAGUUUGAGUAACACUGUUCAAUGAAAAUCUCUCAAAUAAUAUGUUCUCUGUGGGACACACACGGGUGUGUGUAUUUGUAACGUGUUUUGUUUGCAUGUGUGAAAGCAAGCAUGAUGUAACACCAGUGUUGCAUGCCUGCUAAGUAUAAGCAUAUUUUGGUAUGGCAGUCCAUAUGGUAAGAUGUUCCAUGUGUUGGGAGUUGCAAACAGUAUUUCAUCAACUGAAACAAUGCCUAGGUACUCUGAUGUAAUGGCACAAUGAUGUUAAUCUAAUUAGCUGCAAUGAUAGCACCAAGAGGGGAGAUGGCUUACAAUGACGUGCUAAUGAUACUUGCAAAGAUUGCCUCAUGAGUAAUCUUACUGGUUUUCCCCCUGACUAAGAUCACGUUUUGAUAAACUGUGUGUUUGUGUGCACCCGUGUGCGUGUGUGGUUUUAUUUCUCUUUCAGUCUUUUGACUGUAACCUUCAUGGUUUUCUGGAUAUACUCUUCAUUCCUGCUGGGUCAUUUUUGGAUGAUGUUAUAUAUGCAGUAAAAGUUUUACAAGGCUGAUCCAAAAUUUAAUAUGUAGGGGGAAAAAACUCAGAUGUAUUUUUUUCUAAACGUGCAGGCUGCUUUCUAACAUCUUGCUUUAUUCGUCUUGGUGUAAUUAAUGUACAUUCACACCUGGGAGUUAAGCAGUAAAACUGAGCAGAUCCAAAGUUUCAUCUGGAGAUUAAAGACCUCUCAACAAAACUGGAGGGUGUUAUGCAUCAGCAGACUUUUUAUUUAAACUAGUGUUUUUUUUUUUUUUGUUUUUUUCAUCCCGUAUGGCUAGAUUCCCCCAGUGACCAUCUAACCCAAUGCCUCCAAGUAGAACUACUCCAAACAAAGUGAAGCUCUCACUUCGCAGCUUUGCCCUUCAACAAAGAGCCUCAAAUGAGGAAAAUGAUGUGAGAAAUUGCGUUACAAAAUUAGCUUCAUAGUUCUGCGCCAGUAGUUCCAUGUUUUGACUUUAGCAUCAGAAAGAUGGACGCUAAACUCACAAAUUUCAUGCUUAUCAGAGGCAAGACCAUAAAGUCUAUGAGAGAGCAUUUUGCAAUGGUAGGAAAACAUCACCUGCAAAAACAGUGAUGCAAAAUCACAAAACUGAACACACGGCUCAGUCUUGAUGAACCAACUAACACACAGGAAGGUUCUCAAACAUAACAUUACACAUUGUUUUUCUUCUUAAUAGAACUGGUGGACCGUUUGAAUCUGUAGGCAUUGUAGGGUAAGCAAAAAUGGGAAAAUUGCAACUCAUUUUUCCCAUUUCUAUGAAUGGAUGGAUAGUUGAUGUGCAUUCUACUCUGAGGUCGAGUAAAAUGUAAAGAACGUGCUAAAACACGCUGUGGAUAGAAUCUUUUCGCCAUGUUAGUGAGACAGCGAUUGAGCCAUGAUGAUAAGGCAACACAUUGCUGACAACAGUGGCCCUUUCAGCUUCUCUGCUUUUCAGUUAAAGGAAAGAACAGAAAGGAAUCAGAUGGUUGGUGGCAGUAAAGUUGAUAGUAGGUUGAAUACGGGGCCCAGUGUGAAAGGGAACAGCUGGGGAUGGAUGGUAAUCUCAAUCUGAUAAUGCUCAUGUGCCCCACAACCAAGCAUGGAAAUGUAAAACACAGUCCGCCACUCCCUGUUUCCAUAUGUGGCUUUCAUUGCCUUCCCUGCCUCUGUAUGUUUGGCGGAGGUGUGCGGCAAAGUAUGUAAAAUAUGUACAAACACACCCAAAUAAGAAGUCAUGUUUUU
This is a long non-coding RNA of Oreochromis niloticus (Nile tilapia), 2428 nucleotides long. RefSeq lists it as uncharacterized. Lineage: Eukaryota; Metazoa; Chordata; Actinopteri; Cichliformes; Cichlidae. The transcript is spliced from 2 exons. The record is from RefSeq and is a predicted model, not a curated record.